RNAcentral lists this ribosomal RNA (602 nucleotides) under Bacillus subtilis. Its description in RNAcentral is "bacterial SSU rRNA". It matches the Rfam family "Bacterial small subunit ribosomal RNA", at positions 750 to 1352 of the family's 1533-position model. Lineage: Bacteria; Bacillati; Bacillota; Bacilli; Caryophanales; Bacillaceae. The record is from RNAcentral.
GGAGCGAAAGCGUGGGGAGCGAACAGGAUUAGAUACCCUGGUAGUCCACGCCGUAAACGAUGAGUGCUAAGUGUUAGGGGGUUUCCGCCCCUUAGUGCUGCAGCUAACGCAUUAAGCACUCCGCCUGGGGAGUACGGUCGCAAGACUGAAACUCAAAGGAAUUGACGGGGGCCCGCACAAGCGGUGGAGCAUGUGGUUUAAUUCGAAGCAACGCGAAGAACCUUACCAGGUCUUGACAUCCUCUGACAAUCCUAGAGAUAGGACGUCCCCUUCGGGGGCAGAGUGACAGGUGGUGCAUGGUUGUCGUCAGCUCGUGUCGUGAGAUGUUGGGUUAAGUCCCGCAACGAGCGCAACCCUUGAUCUUAGUUGCCAGCAUUCAGUUGGGCACUCUAAGGUGACUGCCGGUGACAAACCGGAGGAAGGUGGGGAUGACGUCAAAUCAUCAUGCCCCUUAUGACCUGGGCUACACACGUGCUACAAUGGACAGAACAAAGGGCAGCGAAACCGCGAGGUUAAGCCAAUCCCACAAAUCUGUUCUCAGUUCGGAUCGCAGUCUGCAACUCGACUGCGUGAAGCUGGAAUCGCUAGUAAUCGCGGAUCAG